Molecule: ribosomal RNA, 253 nt
Filed under: uncultured bacterium
Lineage: Bacteria
Description: partial 16S ribosomal RNA
Rfam family: Bacterial small subunit ribosomal RNA
Source: RNAcentral
UACGGAGGAUCCAAGCGUUAUCCGGAUUUAUUGGGUUUAAAGGGUGCGUAGGCGGCCUGUUAAGUCAGGGGUGAAAGCCGGUAGCUCAACUAUCGCAGUGCCCUUGAUACUGAUGGGCUUGAAUAAACUAGAGGUAGGCGGAGUGUGACAAGUAGCGGUGAAAUGCAUAGAUAUGUGACGGAACACCGAUUGCGAAGGCAGCUUACCAGGGUUUGAUUGACGCUGAGGCACGAAAGCGUGGGGAGCAAACAGG